CACCGCGCGCCUGGUAACAGGGGCGGCACGGCAAACCCCACCGGGAGCAAGAUCGAAUAGGGGUGGCACAUGGGCUUCGUUUCAGCUCGUCACCCGGGUUGAUUGCUUGAGGCGGCGGGUAACCGUCGUCCUAGAGGAAUGGUCGCCUAACUUCCGUAUCGAAGGAUCGGAAAUGGACAGAACCCGGCUUACAGACCCUCUGGCAUC
Molecule: RNase P RNA, 207 nt
Filed under: Sphingomonas sp.
Lineage: Bacteria; Pseudomonadati; Pseudomonadota; Alphaproteobacteria; Sphingomonadales; Sphingomonadaceae
Description: partial RNase P RNA component class A
Rfam family: Bacterial RNase P class A
About the family: Ribonuclease P (RNase P) is a ubiquitous endoribonuclease, found in archaea, bacteria and eukarya as well as chloroplasts and mitochondria.
Source: RNAcentral